This 468-nucleotide unclassified non-coding RNA is filed under the name Hevea brasiliensis (rubber tree). The record is from RNAcentral. Lineage: Eukaryota; Viridiplantae; Streptophyta; Magnoliopsida; Malpighiales; Euphorbiaceae.
AUAUGAUCAAAAUAAAAAAUAAAAGAAAAGCUACAAAUCAUAUCAGUUACCCAUCAGCUAGCUUUAUUUUUUAAAAAUUUACCAAACACUCUAAUUCAUCUAUUUUAGUAUUUAUCAGCUAUUUUUUAAGGGGGUGCUUGGUUCACCGCUUGAGUGCAACUGAUAGCUGACAAACACCCAAAUAGAUAAACUAGUGUUUGGUAAAUUUUAAAAAAAUAAAGCCGAUAGUUUAUGGGUAACUGAUAUGAUACCCAUCAACUGUAGUUUGUAUCAACUCUGUUUUUAGAGUUAUUUCUUAUGAGUUGAUAGCUGAUUCGAUUUUAUUUUUUAUUUAAACCAUAUUAUCUUUUUUUAUGUAACUCAAAAAUAAUAUUAUUAGUGCAUUUAUUUUUUUAUUUAUAAUUUUAACAUUUUAAUUAACAUAUUUCAAUUUUGUUAGAAUAUUUUUUUAUUAAUAACAUAAAAUAU